UUUCUCUUGUUUUUAAUUGGAGAUAUAGUCUGCCCACUGAUAGUUUUGAAGGGCCGCGGUAUUUUGACCGUGCAAAGGUAGCAUAAUCAUUAGUUUUUUAAUUGAGAACUGGAAUGAAUGGCUGGAUGAGAUAAUGGCUUUCUUAUAAUUAAUUUAUUAUAAUUUAACUUUUGGAUUAAAAGGUCUAAAUGUAUUUAUGGGACGAGAAGACCCUAUAGAGUUUAAUAAUAGGUAUUUGUUAAGUUGUUGGUUAAAAUAAUAAUAGGUUUAUAAUUAUUUAGUUGGGGUGACUGUGAGAAUUAGUUAACUCUUAUUUAAUUUUUUUUACUGAUUUGUAUGUAUUGGAUCCAAUAUUGUUGAUUAUGAGACUAAAUUACCUUAGGGAUAACAGCGUAAUCCUUUUGGAGAGUUCUAAUCGAUAAAGGGAAUUGCGA
RNAcentral lists this ribosomal RNA (434 nucleotides) under Polyphaga plancyi. RNAcentral's name for it is "partial 16S ribosomal RNA". The record is from RNAcentral. Lineage: Eukaryota; Metazoa; Arthropoda; Insecta; Blattodea; Corydiidae.